CAGUCGCCGCGGUAAUACGUAGGGUGCAAGCGUUAAUCGGAAUUACUGGGCGUAAAGCGUGCGCAGGCGGUUAUAUAAGUCAGAUGUGAAAUCCCCGGGCUCAACCUGGGAACUGCAUUUGAGACUGUAUGGCUAGAGUGUGUCAGAGGGGGGUAGAAUUCCACGUGUAGCAGUGAAAUGCGUAGAUAUGUGGAGGAAUAUCGUUGGCGAAGGCAGCCCCCUGGGAUAACACUGACGCUCAUGCACGAAAGCGUGGGGAGCAAACAGGAUUAGAUACCCGAGUAGUCCCUGUCUCUUAUAA
This 301-nucleotide ribosomal RNA is filed under the name uncultured bacterium. Its description in RNAcentral is "partial 16S ribosomal RNA". It matches the Rfam family "Bacterial small subunit ribosomal RNA", at positions 509 to 809 of the family's 1533-position model. The record is from RNAcentral.